GGACUACACGGGUAUCUAAUCCUGUUUGAUCCCCACGCUUUCGUGCCUCAGCGUCAGUUACAGUUUCGUCAGCUGCCUUCGCAAUCGGUGUUCUGUGUCAUAUCUAUGCAUUUCACCGCUACAUGACACAUUCCGCCAACGGCAUCUGUACUCUAGCCCUGCAGUAUCAAUGGCACCUCGACAGUUAAGCUGCCGUAUUUCACCACUGACUUACAAGGCCGCCUACGCACCCUUUAAACCCAAUAAAUCCGGAUAACGCUUGCAUCCUUCGUAUUACCGCGGCUGCUGGCAC
RNAcentral lists this ribosomal RNA (292 nucleotides) under uncultured bacterium. RNAcentral describes it as "partial 16S ribosomal RNA". The record is from RNAcentral. RNAcentral also lists the same sequence under 1 other name.